GCUAGGUGUGGUGGUGCACACCUGUAAUCCCAGCUACUCGGGAGGCUAAGGCAGGAGACUCGCUUGAGCCCAGGAAGCGGAGGUUGCAGUGAGCCGAGGUUGCACCACUGCAUUCCAGCCUGGGCGACAGAGUGAGACUCCGUCUAAA
This 148-nucleotide non-coding RNA is filed under the name Nomascus leucogenys (northern white-cheeked gibbon). Lineage: Eukaryota; Metazoa; Chordata; Mammalia; Primates; Hylobatidae. The record is from Rfam by way of RNAcentral.